Molecule: unclassified non-coding RNA, 216 nt
Filed under: Hevea brasiliensis (rubber tree)
Lineage: Eukaryota; Viridiplantae; Streptophyta; Magnoliopsida; Malpighiales; Euphorbiaceae
Source: RNAcentral
CGCGACCGCGUGCGCAGCAUCGGUGAGCAAAUCUGCAAUUAUGCCGAUGUCGAAGGCGACGGCUACAAUCCAUUCCGCAACCUGAAUGGACAGAUGAUUGCCAACAUUUCGACGCCGCGUCCCGGCGUCACCGAACCACGUGACGUGACGCGGGUCUUCAAGCUCAUCAGCGCACCGUGGACGAGAGCGAGGUUUGGUGACGUUGUUGGCCUUGCC